This is a long non-coding RNA of Syngnathus typhle (broad-nosed pipefish), 369 nucleotides long. RefSeq lists it as uncharacterized. The transcript is spliced from 3 exons. NCBI's taxonomy places the organism in Eukaryota, Metazoa, Chordata, Actinopteri, Syngnathiformes, Syngnathidae. The record is from RefSeq and is a predicted model, not a curated record.
GCAAGAAAAAUGGACGAAAGGAAACUAUGGAGCAUGGACGCUUUUUUCACCUGAUUGGCUCACCACGUGACCCGCUGCGGCCAAUUGCGUGCGAUUAUUUUGUCGGCGGGAAACCGAAGCAGGAAGUGGAGCGGAGAAGCGAGAGAGAAUCAACCGUAAGGAAAGAUGUCGAAUCCGCCAUUUAAACCCCUAAAAAGAAGAAGAAUCAGAUGCAGACCGAGGAGGAGGAAGGAGCGCCUCUUCCUCUUCAUCCUCCUGUGAAGCGUCACCGCGGGGUUAAUCCAAACGCUCCAGGGGAAAGGCAUCCUUCGCGAGCUUCUGCAUGCAUCCACAUCCAUCCAUCCAUUCGUGCUCAGAACUCUCCCCAAG